Molecule: long non-coding RNA, 212 nt
Filed under: Lathyrus oleraceus (garden pea)
Lineage: Eukaryota; Viridiplantae; Streptophyta; Magnoliopsida; Fabales; Fabaceae
Description: Pisum sativum (pea) long non-coding RNA (PSAT_LNC032821)
Source: RNAcentral
UUGAAGGUUUCAAAACUUUCACCAAAACUCACGAUCCAUAUACCAUUCGAAAGUUGGGGUGAUGUACAUCACCCUUGUACCCUUAAUUUCCACUCAAGAUCCCUACAGAGAAAGAAAUCUGAGAUGGAAAAAUAAGGUGUUCAAACUGAACUUGCUCAAUUCAUAAAAUUAAAAGCACAAAUCAAUUGCCUCUCACAUGAGGACUUCAGAGG